Molecule: long non-coding RNA, 1344 nt
Filed under: Vigna radiata
Lineage: Eukaryota; Viridiplantae; Streptophyta; Magnoliopsida; Fabales; Fabaceae
Description: long non-coding RNA (VRAD_LNC009778)
Source: RNAcentral
GGUUGCCUCCUAGUAGCGCUUGUUUAACAUCGCGAGCCUGACCCAAACCUGGUUAGCACUUGUCAGUAAGUGCCUCCCAACACCUUUCAGUAGGUGUACCUUCCUGGUAUCCUUCAGUAGAUACCUAUAUCUUCUAACAUCCCCUAGUAGAUGCUAUCCCAGUAGCACUCAUCAGUAAAUGCUAAUCUUUCUAAUCUUCAUUGGCAUCCAUCAGUAAAUGCCAUAUCACCUAACAUCCAUCAGUAGAUGUUGUAGAAGCAUCCAUCAGUAGAUGCUAUCAUCACUGCCAUCAGAAGCAGCACACAACCCUCCCAGGUAACGCUUCUUUAACGUCCUUAGCUUGACCCGGUAAAGCCCAAACACCCCUCAGUAGGUGUUAAUUUUUAACGUUGGCGUUCUUCCUUCCUUCAUGACACCAACAAUAUUCUUGUCACCAACUCUAAGGAUCCUCAAUCUCAAGAGCUCUGCUUGCUUUAAUAGUCUUGACAACCCAUAACCUAAUUUUGAAUUUCAUUGAUGUGCCAGGUUAGGGUUCGUCACUUUUCACAUCAGGGUGUUGGUGAACCAAUUCUCCUUCCUUAUCUGCCUCCUGAUGAUCUUGUGCUCCUAGUACCAAAAAUUUUAUCCUACAUACACUAAAGAACACUGCAUUAGAGCACCGAAUUAGCCCAAAAAUAAAAAUAGUAAAAGAUAAUUUUUAUUUUUAUUUUAAUUUUCAUUUUCAUUUUUUUAAAAAAAAUUAAAAACAGAAAGAUAAAAAGAAAAAUAAAAUAAAAUAAAAUAAAAUAAAAGCAAAUCAAAUCAAAUAAAAUAAAAUCAAAUAAAAUAAAAUAAAAUAAAAUAAAAUCAAAUCAAAUCAAAUCAAAUCAAAUAAAACAAAAUAAGAUAAAAUCAAAUCAAAUCAAAUAAGACAAAUAAAAUAAAAAGAAAGUCUAAUCGAUCAAGAAUCGCACACAUAGAAUAGUUCUACCAUGAGUCCCCAGCAACGACGCCAAAAACUUGUUGACAAAUUGGCAAGUGUACCAAAUCGUACAAGUAAUAUAAAUGGUAAGAGCAAGUAUCGUUUUCCCAAGAGACUCAAAAGGCUUUCUCGUUCACGUGAACUAAAAUAAUAAGACUUGGAAAAUAAAAAUUAAUAAAUUGGAUUUGAGAACAAAAAUAUUAACAUGCAAAAAUAAAGUUCAUUCAAUUGACAAAAGAAAACAAUGGAUGAAUGGAUGUUGUUGGGGGUUUACAAUUUCAUCUAAUCCGCUCUCUCUUACCUACUCCUCUUGAAUAUUAGUUUGAUUAAUUAAUUGUUAUGCGACUUUCUUAGUCUCCCCUUAACCCGAUCCCUCGGCGAAA